CCGCCGCGCCUCACUCUUCCCCUCUUCGUUCUCCCCAUCUCGCCUCUCUCUCCUUCUGAUGCCACAGGAAAUCCCCAAUUUCUCAAUCCCUAAUAUCUCUUCGCUCUAAAUUCCGGCAAGCCGACUCACCCCCACUACCACCUGCGAUUCUUCCUCUUCGUAUCACGGCCGAAACCGCUGCCCCCUUCCUCCUCCAUGGACCGGUCGAACACAGCCCAAACAUCCCCGUAUCAAGAUUAAACUUGUAAGUUUUUAUUUCAUUCUUCCGUCUUUGUUCCAAGUGAUCGAUCGAUGUAAAGGUCCAUAUGUCUAUCAUCUGUGACAUGAUUUUGUUAUGAUAUCUAUCUGAAAAUAGAUUGUGGUUUCUUCAAAUUGUCCUUAUGCAGUGACAAUGGGUUUCGGUGAUGGAUUUGACUAUGAUUCUGUAUCUGUAGGGAUUGAAUUAUGAAGAACUGAAUUGAGAGUAUAAGCGGAAGAAACUAUGAUAGAGGGGUGGGGAGUAAUCUCAUCUCAAGUAAGUGGGGAAGAUUUCCUUAAUGGUGGGAGAACGAGAGAGAGGGAGAGAG
RNAcentral lists this long non-coding RNA (566 nucleotides) under Salvia miltiorrhiza (redroot sage). RNAcentral's name for it is "long non-coding RNA (SMIL_LNC007877)". The record is from RNAcentral. Lineage: Eukaryota; Viridiplantae; Streptophyta; Magnoliopsida; Lamiales; Lamiaceae.